GAUGAAGAACGUAGCGAAAUGCGAUAAGUAAUGUGAAUUGCAGAAUUCAGUGAAUCAUCGAAUCUUUGAACGCACCUUGCGCCCUUUGGCCAUUCCGAAGGGCAUGCCUGUUUGAGUAUCAUGAACACCUCAACUCUUCAUGGUUUUCCAUGAUGAGCUUGGACUUUGGGGGUCUUGCUGGCCUGUGGGUCGGCUCCUCUCAAAUGAAUCAGCUUGCCGGUUUUUGGUGGGCAUCACAGGUGUGAUAACUAUCUACGCUUGUGGUUUUCCACCAGGGUAACCUUCAGCAGUGGAGGUUCACUGGAGCUUACAAAUGUCUCUCCUCUGUGAGGACAGCCCUUUGAAUGUUUGAUCUCAAAUCAGGUAGGACUACCCGCUGAACUUAACCAUAUCAAUAAGCGGAGGA
This 406-nucleotide unclassified non-coding RNA is filed under the name soil metagenome. RNAcentral's name for it is "partial contains 5.8S ribosomal RNA, internal transcribed spacer 2, and large subunit ribosomal RNA". The stretch from base 1 to 121 matches the Rfam family "5.8S ribosomal RNA", at positions 35 to 154 of the family's 154-position model. The record is from RNAcentral.